AGACAGGUGAGCUGUGGUGAGUCAGUAAUACCUAGACAGGUGAGAUGUGGUGAGUCAGUAAUAUCUAGACAGGUGAGAUGUGGUGAGUCAGUAAUACCUAGACAGGUGAGAUGUGGUGAGUCAGUAAUAUCUAGACAGGUGAGAUGUGGUGAGCCAGUAAUACCUAGACAGGUGAGAUGUGGUGAGUCAGUAAUACCUAGACAGGUGAGCUGUGGUGAGUCAGUAAUACCUAGACAGGUGAGAUGUGGUGAGUCAGUAAUAUCUAGACAGGUGAGAUGUGGUGAGUCAGUAAUACCUAGACAGGUGAGAUGUGGUGAGUCAGUAAUAUCUAGACAGGUGAGAUGUGGUGAGUCAGUAAUAUCUAGACAGGUAAGAUGUGGUGAGUCAGUAAUACCUAGACAGGUGAGAUGUGGUGAGUCAGUAAUAUCUAGACAGGUGAGAUGUG
This is a long non-coding RNA of Oncorhynchus keta (chum salmon), 445 nucleotides long. RefSeq lists it as uncharacterized. Lineage: Eukaryota; Metazoa; Chordata; Actinopteri; Salmoniformes; Salmonidae. The transcript is spliced from 3 exons. The record is from RefSeq and is a predicted model, not a curated record.